UUCAAUAUCAUAAUUUACUUGCUCUCAUUGAUCAGACCAAGACAACUUCCAUGGCAAAUCAAGUGAGCUCAGCCUCAACAAUAAGCAACCUUUCAGGACCGACACUCGGGGAAGACGAUUGGGACGGGCAUUGAGCGAGAAGGCCUCUACUACUUGGAUAUCACGAAAACAUCUGGGUGCUUCUCUGUUUCGGCAGCCGUCUCCACCAAUCCUGAUCUUUGGCAUCAACGUCUUGGUCAUCCUUCCAAUAAGAGUUUGCAAGCUCUGUCUUUACUUACCAAGACUAUUCCAUUUUGUUCUGUUGAUAGUUGUUCAAUUUGUCCCCUUGCUAAACAGACUCGCAAACCUUUUAGUUUGAGUUCUAUCAAUACAAAUGCAGUUUUUGAAUUAAUUCAUGUU
Tripterygium wilfordii is the source of this 399-nucleotide long non-coding RNA. RefSeq lists it as uncharacterized. The transcript is spliced from 2 exons. The record is from RefSeq and is a predicted model, not a curated record. NCBI's taxonomy places the organism in Eukaryota, Viridiplantae, Streptophyta, Magnoliopsida, Celastrales, Celastraceae.